UUUGAUGGCGACCGGCGCACGGGUGAGUAACACGUAUCCAACCUGCCGAUGACUCGGGGAUAGCCUUUCGAAAGAAAGAUAAUACCGAUGGCAUAGUUCUUCCGCAUGGUGGAACUAUUAAAGAAUUUCGGUCAUCGAUGGGGAUGCGUUCCAUUAGGUUGUUGGCGGGGUAACGGCCCACCAAGCCUUCGAUGGAUAGGGGUUCUGAGAGGAAGGUCCCCCACCAUUGGAACUGAGACACGGUCCAAACUCCUACGGGAGGCAGCAUG
This 269-nucleotide ribosomal RNA is filed under the name uncultured bacterium. RNAcentral describes it as "partial 16S ribosomal RNA". It matches the Rfam family "Bacterial small subunit ribosomal RNA", at positions 84 to 353 of the family's 1533-position model. The record is from RNAcentral.